ACUCAAAGGAAUAGACGGGGACCCGCACAAGCGGUGGAUGAUGUGGAUUAAUUCGAUGCAACGCGAAAAACCUUACCUACCCUUGACAUGCCAGGAACCCUUGAGAGAUCAGGGGGUGCCGCAAGGAACCUGGACACAGGUGCUGCAUGGCUGUCGUCAGCUCGUGUCGUGAGAUGUUGGGUUAAGUCCCGCAACGAGCGCAACCCUUGCCAUUAGUUGCCAUCAUUUAGUUGGGCACUUUAAUGGGACUGCCGGUGACAAGCCGGAGGAAGGUGGGGAUGACGUCAAGUCCUCAUGGCCCUUAUGGGUAGGGCUUCACACGUCAUACAAUGGUCGGUACAGAGGGAAGCCAAGCCGCGAGGUGGAGCUGAUCCUUUAAAGCCGAUCGUAGUCCGGAUUGCAGUCUGCAACUCGACUGCAUGAAGUCGGAAUCGCUAGUAAUCGCGGAUCAGCAUGUCGCGGUGAAUACGUUCCCGGGUCUUGUACACACCGCCCGU
Molecule: ribosomal RNA, 497 nt
Filed under: uncultured bacterium
Lineage: Bacteria
Description: bacterial SSU rRNA
Rfam family: Bacterial small subunit ribosomal RNA
Source: RNAcentral